GUCCACGCCGUAAACGAUGAUAACUAGCUGUCCGGGACUUGGUCUUUGGGUGGCGCAGCUAACGCAUUAAGUUAUCCGCCUGGGGAGUACGGCCGCAAGGUUAAACUCAAAUGAAUUGACGGGGCCUGCACAAGCGGUGGAGCAUGUGGUUUAAUUCGAAGCAACGCGCAGAACCUUACCAGCGUUUGACAUGGCAGGACGACUUCCAGAGAUGGAUUUCUCCCUUCGGGGACCUGCACACAGGUGCUGCAUGGCUGUCGU
Molecule: ribosomal RNA, 261 nt
Filed under: uncultured bacterium
Lineage: Bacteria
Description: partial 16S ribosomal RNA
Rfam family: Bacterial small subunit ribosomal RNA
Source: RNAcentral